This 296-nucleotide unclassified non-coding RNA is filed under the name Hevea brasiliensis (rubber tree). The record is from RNAcentral. Lineage: Eukaryota; Viridiplantae; Streptophyta; Magnoliopsida; Malpighiales; Euphorbiaceae.
CUAAUGUUUUUCCAAUUUCAUUUUUAUCAAAUUCAUCGUAAUUUUUGUUUUCCCAAUUGGGUUUAGUUUUGAUGUGAUGAUAAGCAAUUGACACCCUGUCUCACUUGUAUCUUUUGAUGCAGUAUGGUGAGCCAUUGAUCGACUAUCUGAUCCUCUUUGGCUAAAAGAAAUCCAAAUAAAAUGGAAUUGUUCUAUUCAUGUGUACGUGUAUGCAUUUGUGUGGUGUUAUCUGUGUCUUACUGUCUCUGUUUAUUCUACCAAGACUUUCAAGGGAUAUGAUGAUGCUUUUUGACACC